RNAcentral lists this ribosomal RNA (465 nucleotides) under uncultured bacterium. RNAcentral describes it as "partial 16S ribosomal RNA". It matches the Rfam family "Bacterial small subunit ribosomal RNA", at positions 32 to 523 of the family's 1533-position model. The record is from RNAcentral.
AAUCAACGCUGGCGGCGUGCCUAACACAUGCAAGUCGCACGAGAAAGCGGACUUCGGUCUGCAAGUACAGUGGCGCACGGGUGAGUAACACGUGAAUUAUCUACCUUCGAGUGGGGAAUAACCUCGGGAAACCGAGGCUAAUACCGCAUAACACUUACGAGUCAAAGCAGCAAUGCGCUUGAAGAGGAGUUCGCGGCAGAUUAGUUAGUUGGCGGGGUAAUGGCCCACCAAGACGAUGAUCUGUAUCCGGCCUGAGAGGGCGCACGGACACACUGGAACUGAAACACGGUCCAGACUCCUACGGGAGGCAGCAGUGGGGAAUUUUGCGCAAUGGGGGAAACCCUGACGCAGCAACGCCGCGUGGAGGAUGAAAUCCCUUGGGAUGUAAACUCCUUUCGAUCGGGACGAUUAUGACGGUACCGGAAGAAGAAGCCCCGGCUAACUUCGUGCCAGCCGCCGCAGUAA